Molecule: long non-coding RNA, 246 nt
Organism: Sphaerodactylus townsendi
Lineage: Eukaryota; Metazoa; Chordata; Lepidosauria; Squamata; Sphaerodactylidae
Exons: 2
Source: RefSeq, a predicted model, not a curated record
CUUUCAUCCUCUUUUUCUUCCCCUUUCUGGCCUCUUUGUAUGACUAUAUUUGGCAAGAAGAUGGAGCCGGGCCAGGUUUUUCCACGUGUGCCGAGAGCUCCCAGCUGAGCAGGAGAGGGUUCUCUUCCGGAUCGCUCCCAGAAGGGAAGCUUGGCCUCUUUUCCUCAAUCGAGCAACCAAAAGAACCAACUGGUGUUUCUCAGUGUGAUUGUAACACCUCUUUCACUGUUAAAAAAAACAACCCUA